CGCUCGGCUGGUUCUAAAAGUAUUAGCUGGUCCUUGAAACUCUUGGUUCUACUCGGCGUGAUAAUUAUCUGACGUUGAGGACAUCUCUUUUACUAGAGGUGGCCAGGAUUCUCUGUGGAUUGCUUUCGAAUCGUCUUUCAAACAGACAAUCUAUUUCAAUAUCUGACCUCGAAUCAGGCGGGACUACCCGCUGAACUUAA
This 200-nucleotide unclassified non-coding RNA is filed under the name soil metagenome. Its description in RNAcentral is "partial contains internal transcribed spacer 2 and large subunit ribosomal RNA". The record is from RNAcentral.